AUGCCAGUUUAUAUGUUCUGAAGAUACAGUGUCUGGUAAAGCAUAUGACGAUGCAAUCCUAGUAUAAACCUUCCGUGUGUUUCUGUUCUGUCUUAGGCAUUAAAGGAUGUGUCUUUUUGGCUACUGCUCUGCUGGAGCUGAAACUUUCCCAAAACUCACAGCUAAGCAGUUCAGUGUGUGUUGCAUGGGACAGCUACAGAAUUCCAAUUACUGCAAUGAAGCUGUCUAUCUAAACACAGAAAUAUUUAUCUAAUCAACGGUGAACUUCUUUUAUCAUCAGAUUAGUCCUGCACUUUCACAGAGGAGAGCUACGCUAAAACCUGUCAAAACUUAAUCUCUUGCAUAUCCUUCUUAAAUAUUGUGUUUUGUGCUUUUCCCCACUGUAAAACCUGUUACUGAUCCCUCCUAAGAAUGAGUGAAGGAUUUGUGACAAUAUUUGCAGGUUAUUAGAAAAUCACAGGAACACUGAUGUCUUCAAGAUUUUGCAAAAUGUUCUGCUUUUUGUGUAAAUUUUAACACACUUAUUUAAGACAUGGCAUUUAUUUUAGAAAUAUUUCUCUGGUGGGCAUCAAUUUUCAGAGGAAGAAAAAAAUCAAUGGCUUGAUUUAGUGCUGGUUGCUAAUUUUCAAAAGUUUUGAGAAAAAGUGACAUAACUCAUAAACUAUUUCUAAGGGUUUACUGCUUUCUUUUGUGUUUAAUACUGGUUACUGAUAGCAAAUGUAGUGCCUGUGCUGUGAAGUGUUACAGCUGUGUCUAAUUUACAUAUUUCCUGUGUUUUUUAGUGAAAUUAAGAUAUUUUCCAUGUAUUUAGUUGCUGCCUGCCUGAUUUCUUCCUAUGUUGAUACAUUAAUAACUCAAACAGAUAGUGAUGUGCUUUCAUUUUGCUUUACAGCACCUCUUAAAGUUUAGGAAUAACAGGAAACUCUCUUGUUGGCUUAUCACAGAGUUAAAAUUGCAAAUAUAAACACAAUGUACUGGUUUAUAGGUUGAGGAAGUACCAUAUCACAGAUCAAUGCAACUCAGGUUGAUUCCAGUGGGGAUUAUUAAUGUAUGUCAGCUCUAAAUUCGGUCCUGCAUUUUGGGGAUUUUACUACCUAUUGCUGCUGGUUAGUUUCAGUGUCUUUAAAAUCUGC
Molecule: long non-coding RNA, 1133 nt
Filed under: Anas platyrhynchos platyrhynchos (common mallard)
Lineage: Eukaryota; Metazoa; Chordata; Aves; Anseriformes; Anatidae
Description: lncRNA (ENSAPLG00000024874.1)
Source: RNAcentral